GUUUCCCUCCAAAGAGAAGCUCUCACCAAGGCGAUGAAGACGCUGUACUUCCUGGCUAAGGAAGAGAUGGCGCACACGACCAAGUUUUCAUCGCUCGUGGACUUCGCUAGAGACCACCUGGGAUGUGAUGUCUUUUCACAUCUAUCCCAGGGUGAAAAUGCGACGUACACGAGUGAGCGCAUCCUACAGGAGCUCCUACAGGUGAUGGCAGACCAGCUACAGGCGGAACACAGCAGGUUACUUGCAGGCUCCACCUACUUCGGUCUGCAGGUGGACGAGACGACAGACAUUACAACAACGAAAGAAUUGGUGCUGCUCACACGGUAAGUCUUAGGUUUUUAUGUUGACUAACAUUCAGUAAACGAUGUAAGCCUACCAAUGUAGAUUGAAACUAGCUGCCAAAAAUGUUUGCUUUAUUGUGAUGCUUUUUUUCCAGGUUGAUCACAGGAGGGGAAGUCAUCAACCGUUUUGCUGGGAUGGUGGAGGUGGAUGACGGCAAAGCCAACACCAUCAGUUCUGCCAUCCUGGCCUGGAUACAGAAGAAGGGCCUGGAUGUGCAAAAACUGAUGGGGCUUGGCAGUGAUGGCGCGCCUGUGAUGACAGGUGGGUAGCAGUUAAUUUCAAAUGAGUGAGUUAUUGUAAAGUAUUCAUUGUAUAUAAAGUUGUCAUUUAAUUUCUCAUGGCACAUGAAAAGUACUCACAAUUUACCUUCAAUGUCUUCCAGGAAAGAGGAAUGGAGUGGCAACACUUCUCAAGGGCCAGAGCAAGCAUCUAGUUGCCAUCCAUUGCAUUGCGCAUAGGCUGGCACUAGCAGCUGGCCAGGCUGGAGAAGCUGUUGCUUACUUCCGAAACAAGUUCAAGCAAAAUCUCGGGGAGCUGUUUCGGUUCUAUGACAACUCAGCAUGUAGGAUGUCCCGCCUACACCAGAUCCAGGACAUGCUGGACAUCAUCAGAACAACGAUGAAGAACGCUGUGGAUACCAGAUGGCUCAGCCACGACGAGGCAUGCAAGGCUCUUCAUAAGAGCCUGCCCGUCGUGCUGCUUAGCCUGGACCACGAGGCCAAGGACAACGUGACAGCAUUUGGACUCCUGGCGUGGCUGAAGGACUAUCGGACUCUGGCCACCCUCUAUCUCCUUUGUGACCUGCUGCCACAUUUGUCUGCACUUUCGCGGUGUUUCCAGCAUGCAAAGAUUAAUUUACUGCAGAUACACAGCAAUGUGCAGACAACUGUGGCCCUGGUGAGGACGAUGAGGGAGGGCAUGAACGGUAGUAGGCUCUCAAAGCUGGAGCAGGAUCUGUUAGCAGGUGGCCGUCUGGCGGAGUUCUCCAUCUCCAUGUCCCCUGAGCUGAAGCUCAAGUGGCAGAAGGAGGUGAGGGAACCCUUCAUCGACCGCCUGCUGCAGAACCUGCAGGACCGUUUUGACUCCACCCAGCUGCUGUCCAGCUUUGCUAUCCUGGACUCAUCCCUGAUGCCACAGCCCAUGCCCGAGGACUAUGGCUCUGCCGAGGUUGAGUGCAUUGUGGCACAUUAUGGUGGCGAUGUCGGGGGGAUUGUUGAACCUGAUGCUGUCUAGGAUGAGUGGUACAGUCUGCGUGAGUACAUCAGGCAGAAUAACGGCUUGUCUCAGGAGCAGCUGGUGAAACUCCUCCUGACAGAAGACACCAUGGCAGAGCUGUAUCCCAGCAUGAGACUGCUGGCAUCGGUGCUGAUGGUCAUCCCAGUCAGCACUGCUGACAGCGAAGGGGCCUUCAGCACGCUGAAGAGGGUCAAGGCCAGACUGCGCAGCAGGAUGACCAAUAAGACUCUGAAUGCACUACUGACCAUCAGCAUAGAUGGUCCAAGUGUCAAUGAUUUUGAUUUUGACAGGGCAGUUUCAGCCUGGGGGGCAAUGAGGAACAGAAGGAUUUCUGUGUAGGAAACAUGUUUCAUUUGCUAAUUGUUUCUAAACUGUACAUUUCAUUUUCAGCACUUUUAUUUUUCAUUUUCGUUAUACCUCUCAUGUACACAAUUGGUAAGCAGUCACAAGUUCAUGUCAUACUACUUUCAUUUUGUAUGAUGAUGUAGACUGUAUAAUGUUGACUGUAUAUAGUAAAUAACAUUCUAUUCUAUCAUAAGAAGAAGUUGGUGUUAUACAUUUUCUUCGAUGAACAUGACGGGGGGGGGGGGGGGGAUAGUAUACCUGAAUAGUAUACUGAAAGAUAAUAAAAUCCUUGUUUGAAAUUCAGUUCAGUAUAGUCUGUCAUUUUUGUAUAAUGGUUACUAUUCUGUAGUGUCUUGUCACAUGUCAAUAUCUCAAUAUGGCCACCUAGAAGCAUGUGGAAACCCCUCCAACCGCCCAUCAAUUGAAUGUGUGAAAAAAUUAUGUUUUGAAUCAUGGAGAAAAGGUUUUAUAGUCACCAAAAUGCUACAGUAAUGUUUCCAGUGUCACAGAAGUGAGUAAAAGCAUUUGGCACAAUUUGGCCAUUCGGAGACGUUUUGGAAAGGUUCGUGGACGUCAGUGACACCACAAACUAAAAACUCCAUAACUCCCAUAAGGUUAGGCCUAGAAGUCUAAAAUUUCAUCCAGGUGUAGUUGACAAGAUGUAGAAUGUAUGUGAUAUAUGCACUUUCGUUCAGAAGAAGGCAAUUUGUUCCCUUGGAAUAUGGCAGCUUUUUUGUUAAGUUAUCCUAUCCAUAUUCCAGACUGUAUAAGUUUCCAUUUUUCAUUAAAUAAAUUUGAUGGAAGUACAUAUCUUGUUUACUUGAAGAUUACUUACAUUAAAUCCAGGGCUUGACUGUUUUCAGUGUUUUCCACCAAUAGAGGGGGCUCUCUUGCAAGUGGAGCUUUCCAUGGUCAAAGUUAGGUAGGUCAAAGUGCAAAUGUUUACAUAGUCAUAAAAUAAACUAUUUUGUGGCUUUGAAAAAUACAAGUCAAAUGUUCAAAAAACCUCUUUAUCUACUUAAUGAGUGUAGUUUUAGAUUUAUUAACAAAUGUAGCCACAGAUGAAGAAAAAAUCAAUCUUGUAUGGAAAAAAGCAUAAAAAUCGCAAUAAUCGAAGAAUCGUGGCACCAAUAAUCGAAUCGAAUCGACAAUUGUUAUAAUCGAAGAAUUGAAGCUCCCAUAAUCAAAAUCGAAUCGAAUCGUGAGGUACCCUUGUUGGAACACCCCUAAUUAUCAGCCAAUCAGAAGUGAAAUGGGGCGGGUCUUGGAAAUAUGUGCUGAAUUGAUACCCGUGCAGAGAUGUCAUGUAGGGGAUUAGGAUGGAGAGUAAAUUCAUGAAGCCUGGGGAGGAUGCCCACCAAAUUGAUAACGGAUUAACAAAUAAAUAGCGCUGGGCGUGGAUAGAAGAAAUAGGUAAAGACGGUAAGACUUUUGGUAGCUUGUGCAAGAAGUUAAGAGCAGCAGGCGCUUGCCCCUGCGCUUUGUGCUUGAGAAAGCUAAUCUACGCAGCUAGCAGUAAAAAAGUGCUGCCACGUCACAAAUCAGACCCCACUCAUAGAGCAGCUGUUUGCACUCUCCAACACACAACAAGAUUACCGGGAGCAACAACCACAGCUGACGUACCGGCAUCAAUGGCUGACCGCGUGUGUGAAAAUACGACUUGAAAAUACGCGUGUGCAUGUUCAUCACAGAACAAAAUUGCUCUGACAAAACUGUCAAUUGAGUAAAAACUUUACACAGGAAAGUAAUUAUAGC
Sparus aurata (gilthead seabream) is the source of this 3678-nucleotide long non-coding RNA. The record is from Ensembl. Lineage: Eukaryota; Metazoa; Chordata; Actinopteri; Spariformes; Sparidae.